CCUACGGGUGGCAGCAGUGAGGAAUAUUGGUCAAUGGGCGGGAGCCUGAACCAGCCAAGUCGCGUGAGGGAUGACGGCCCUAUGGGUUGUAAACCUCUUUUGCCGGGGAGCAAAGUGCCGCACGUGUGCGGUUUGGAGAGUACCCGGAGAAAAAGCAUCGGCUAACUCCGUGCCAGCAGCCGGGGUAAUACGGAGGAUGCGGGCGUUAUCCGGCUUUACUGGGUUUAAAGGGUGCGUAGGGGGAAUCUUAAGUCUGCGGGAAAAUUGCGGGGCUAAACCUCGUCGAGCCGUUGAAACUGGGUGCCUUGAGUGGGCGAGAGGUACGCGGAAUGCGUGGUGUAGCGGUGAAAUGCGUAGAUA
Molecule: ribosomal RNA, 360 nt
Filed under: uncultured bacterium
Lineage: Bacteria
Description: partial 16S ribosomal RNA
Rfam family: Bacterial small subunit ribosomal RNA
Source: RNAcentral